AAAAAGACAAACCCUGAUUUCCGUGUCCAAUGUUUGACCGUUCAUCUUAUUUGAAAAAAUUAUGAAAAAAAUUAAAAAGACAAGUUACGCAUAAAAUAUUAAUCAUGUUUUAUCAUCUAACAAAAAUAAAAAUACGAAUUAUAAACAAAUUUUAUAUAAGACGGACAGUUAAAGUUGGACAUGGAAACCUAGGGUUUGUCUUUUU
RNAcentral lists this microRNA precursor (205 nucleotides) under Oryza glumipatula. Its description in RNAcentral is "MIR812 microRNA precursor family". It matches the Rfam family "MIR812 microRNA precursor family". Lineage: Eukaryota; Viridiplantae; Streptophyta; Magnoliopsida; Poales; Poaceae. The record is from Rfam by way of RNAcentral.